RNAcentral lists this long non-coding RNA (528 nucleotides) under Coturnix japonica (Japanese quail). RNAcentral's name for it is "lncRNA (ENSCJPG00005008652.1)". Lineage: Eukaryota; Metazoa; Chordata; Aves; Galliformes; Phasianidae. The record is from RNAcentral.
CGUUAUCUGACUGUUGAUGGCAAAUCAUUUUGAGAGAAUACUUUCUUCUGAACCCCCUCAGGUGAGUCACCGCCUCCCAGCAGCUGGAGCAGUUCGUCUUCUUACACAACUUCACUAUAAUCGGGACUUCUGGAAAGAUUCAACUUAGAAGCUAGUACUUCCAGCAUGAGAUGAGAGUAAUGGGAACACGGAAAGGCCAGCUGUUACAAUCAAGACAUGAUACAAAAAGAUGCUGCAGAUUUCUCCAUUCAUUUACAUCGGAAGACAAGACCUAUUGCCCAAGCAUGGCAGCUGCAAAGGGGUACUCUUAUACACAAGCUGUGGAUGCUCAGUUUUUGGCCGUAUAUCUACUUGGAAAUGUCCCAUACUGCUUGAUAAGACCCAGAUGGCAACCAGAUGGCUUCAUGUAACUCUUUGGAAGUGCUGCUGAAGACUGGGAGUAAGAAAUUGAAGUAAGUCUACAAACAACUCCCUCUCUUUCUCAUGACUUCUAUUAAUAAAGAGUGAAGAUUACCUUACUGUAUUCCA